This 439-nucleotide long non-coding RNA is filed under the name Pogona vitticeps (central bearded dragon). Its description in RNAcentral is "lncRNA (ENSPVIG00000014510.1)". The record is from RNAcentral. Lineage: Eukaryota; Metazoa; Chordata; Lepidosauria; Squamata; Agamidae.
UUUCAUUCAUGAAGUGGUUCACCAUCUCCAUUUGUUAAAUUUUGAAAUAUGAAGACCUCUGCUGAAACCUGCAUCUUUUUCAUAAUCUACUGUCAAGAUAACAGCUUAAGACUGAAUUCACAGCUAUCCAUUAUUUAUUUAUUUGAUUUAUACCCCGCCUAUCUGGACCACCGGACCCCUCUUCAAAGAGAAUGGAAAGACUCCCCUCAUGUGUGGUCCUGUAUGACAUCACAAGCCCUCAGGACUGGUGCUGCGGCCUUCUUCCACAGCUCGGCUAAUCCUGCGUUCAUCCUGACUCAGGUUAAAUCCUAGACUGGGAUUCCUUGCUAGGUUUUGGGCCCUCCCUGUACCAUUUGCUCACUGUCCCCAGCCUUUGCAACCUUCCAAUUUGAUAAAGGGGGGGGGAAUAGCAACUUCGUUCCCUGGGGCACAGCUGCAA